This 429-nucleotide ribosomal RNA is filed under the name Acidobacteriota bacterium. Its description in RNAcentral is "Acidobacteria bacterium partial 16S ribosomal RNA". It matches the Rfam family "Bacterial small subunit ribosomal RNA", at positions 355 to 776 of the family's 1533-position model. Lineage: Bacteria; Pseudomonadati; Acidobacteriota. The record is from RNAcentral.
UGGGGAAUUUUGGACAAUGGGGGAAACCCUGAUCCAGCCAUCCCGCGUGGGCGAUGAAGGCCUUCGGGUUGUAAAGCACUUUUGGCAGGAAAGAAAAGUCAUGGGUUAAUACCCCGUGAAACUGACGGUACCUGCAGAAUAAGCACCGGCUAACUACGUGCCAGCAGCCGCGGUAAUACGUAGGGUGCAAGCGUUAAUCGGAAUUACUGGGCGUAAAGCGUGCGCAGGCGGUUCGGAAAGAAAGAUGUGAAAUCCCAGAGCUCAACUUUGGAACUGCAUUUUUAACUACCGGGCUAGAGUGUGUCAGAGGGAGGUGGAAUUCCGCGUGUAGCAGUGAAAUGCGUAGAUAUGCGGAGGAACACCGAUGGCGAAGGCAGCCUCCUGGGAUAACACUGACGCUCAUGCACGAAAGCGUGGGGAGCAAACAGG